AAGAGAUCCCUGCAGGUAGGUGUCACUUUUGCUUGUUAUCAUUCUAAUUGGCUUGCCAGCAUUGGUCGGAGCAAUAGUGGCGUGUUUGUUCCACUUUAAAAUGCAAUCCAAAUCUAACACAGUGCUAUCAAUCUCACUGAGUGGCAUUAACAUCAAUUUCAGAUUGGAAAUGAAGAACUUUGUUACAUGCCCCUCAUUGAUGGUUCCCUUCUUCCACUUAGACUGCUUUAGAGAUUGUUAUUUCUUAUAUGUGCUUGUCGAUAUACAUUGAAUGAUUUAUAUAUCUUUUCAGACAAUUGGUUGAACUUCUUCUUAGUUGCUUUCAUUUUAUAUAUGGAGCUCUGUUUAUUGGCAAUAUGUUUCCUCAAAUGUGGCGUAAACACAAGCUUUUGAGCUUCUAAG
RNAcentral lists this unclassified non-coding RNA (402 nucleotides) under Hevea brasiliensis (rubber tree). Lineage: Eukaryota; Viridiplantae; Streptophyta; Magnoliopsida; Malpighiales; Euphorbiaceae. The record is from RNAcentral.